This 214-nucleotide ribosomal RNA is filed under the name uncultured bacterium. RNAcentral describes it as "partial 16S ribosomal RNA". It matches the Rfam family "Bacterial small subunit ribosomal RNA", at positions 109 to 334 of the family's 1533-position model. The record is from RNAcentral.
AGUAUCGCGUAGGGAUUUGUCGUUGGUGGGGGGAUAACCGCGGGAAACUGCGGCUAAUACCGCAUGACGCCUGUGGGCCAAAGGUGUGCAAGCACUGCCUGACGAGGAGCCUGCGUCCGAUUAGCUAGUUGGUUGGGUAAUGGCUGACCAAGGCUGUGAUCGGUAGCUGGUCUGAGAGGAUGAUCAGCCACACUGGGACUGAGACACGGCCCCG